GGUUGACCUCGGAUCAGGUAGGGAUACCCGCUGAACUUAAGCAUAUCAAUAAGGCGGAGGAAA
RNAcentral lists this ribosomal RNA (63 nucleotides) under Claussenomyces sp. RNAcentral's name for it is "partial 28S ribosomal RNA". The record is from RNAcentral. Lineage: Eukaryota; Fungi; Ascomycota; Leotiomycetes; Leotiales; Tympanidaceae.